CCUACGGGAGGCUGCAGUGAGGAAUAUUGGUCAAUGGGCGCGAGCCUGAACCAGCCAAGUAGCGUGAAGGAUGACUGCCCUACGGGUUGUAAACUUCUUUUAUAUGGGAAUAAAACGUUCCACGUGUGGGCUUUUGUAUGUACCCUAUGAAUAAGGAUCGGCUAACUCCGUUCCAGCAGCCGCCGUAAUACGGAGGAUCCGGGCGUUAUCCGGAUUUUUUGGGUUUAAAGGGAUCGUAGGUGGAUUGUUAAGUCAGUUGUGAAAGUUUGCGGCUCAACCGUCAAAGUGCAGUUGAAACUGGCAGUCUUGAGUGCAGUAGAGGUAGGCGGAAGUCGUGGUGUAGCGGUGAAAUGCUUAGAUAUCACGAAGAACUCCGAUUGCGAAGGCAGUUCACUGGACUGCAACUGACACUGAGGCUCGAAAGUGUGGGUAUCGAACAGGAUUAGAUACCCCAGUAGUC
Molecule: ribosomal RNA, 460 nt
Filed under: uncultured bacterium
Lineage: Bacteria
Description: partial 16S ribosomal RNA
Rfam family: Bacterial small subunit ribosomal RNA
Source: RNAcentral